GACAGAGGGUGCAAACGUUGCUCGGAAUUACUGGGCGUAAAGCGCGUGUAGGUGGUCACGCAAGUCAGGUGUGAAAGCCCUGGGCUCAACCCAGGAAGUGCACAUGAUACUACGUGGCUGGAGUACUGAAGAGGAGAGCGGAAUUCCCGGUGUAGAGGUGAAAUUCGUAGAUAUCGGGAGGAACACCAGUGGCGAAGGCGGCUCUCUGGGCAGAUACUGACACUGAGACGCGAAAGCGUGGGGAGCGAACAGG
Molecule: ribosomal RNA, 253 nt
Filed under: uncultured bacterium
Lineage: Bacteria
Description: partial 16S ribosomal RNA
Rfam family: Bacterial small subunit ribosomal RNA
Source: RNAcentral